UUUUUUUUUUUUUUUUUUUUUUUUUGGCUUUCCUCCCUUCCUUGUCGCAUUUUCCUCAUUCUUUCUUCUUGGAUUAUCUCCCAGAAAGACUUCCUCCACCCAAGUUUUUAUCUAAGGGUGUGCUUUGGAGAGAGACCAAACUAUGACAUUAUUACAUAUAAUAAAGUAGUUGCACCAGCAAUGUUUAGACUCUCUCUUCUUCCUGGAUCUUUGGGAGCAAUUAAGCCCAUAAGAAAUCAGACACUCACCCCAAUUCUGAUGUAACAGCCUUGGGAGAGGUUGCAGUGAAAAGCUGGUCCUGCUGUGGUGGAGAGAAUGGAGAAAACAUAAUAAAAGGCUAAACCUUUGCUCAAACUUUCUCCUCAGCUUCUCGUUGGAUCUGGAAAGCUGGGGACCCACAGGGCAGAGCCAUGGUACUGGAGGAGCCAUUAACAAGUAAGUUCCAAAUAAAUCACCUCCCGCCCGAGGCAACACGUGUUGAGAUCUGCAUGUGUCUUCUAUCCUUCUAUUCUGAGGCUGGCCUGUGCACUUGAUAUAUGGUUUCUUUUUCCUUUCUUUUCUUUUUCUUUUUUAAGUGUCAGUGUUAAAAAGGUGAUUAUUCAAUUGAACCAUGAAGGUGGAUGGAGAGAACUGUAAGAGUCUGCAAACUGUUGAAGUGCACCCAAAGGAGUCAUUGUGAAGCAGAGGAGUAAAGAGUGUUCCUCACAGAGGGAGCAGCCUGUGCAGGAUCCUUGGGGUGGGGGACACAGCUGGGCACACUGAAGCACAGAGAGAAGCCCACACAGGCGGGGCGGAGAAGAGAAGCAGAGAAGAGUGGAGAUGAGGCUACAAAGAUGGACUGCAGGCAGCUCACUGGGGGUGUAUAGACCCUCUCAGUUUAUAAGUUACGCACUCAAGAAGUUUACCUUUGGCUGGGCGCAGUGGCUCACGCCUAUAAUCCCAGUACUUUGGAAGGCCGAGGCAGGCGGUGGAGAUUUGAACAUAUUUAAAUGCUGACGAGCAGAACCAGUAGGGGGAGGGGUUGAAGAUUUGGGGAAAAGGUGAUGAUAAUGGAGCAAGGCCUCUCCCUGACCCCACACCACCCCAUACACACCCAGAAGACAGGAGGGAGCUGAGAUUCAGAGCCAAGGGAAAGGAACUGACCUUGGAUUACAAGAUGGGCCUCGGCUAUAAUGAGAUGAAAAUGGGCAGAGAUGCAGAUAGGUUCGUAUGUGACAAGCCGUUAAGGGAAGGCCUGCACAGUGGUUUUGAUUUUCUCUGAAAUGGAGUCAAAGUUAUCUGCUAAAACUGAAGGUUUACGUGAAAGGCAGGCAUUUCAAGAGAAUGGACACAGUUUGAAGCAGGUGACGUAACCAUGUGUUAAGGUUUCUUAAGAAGGUCCUCAUGUAAGCCUGUUAUCCUGCCCUAAUUAUUAAUAGUGCCCCCUUUCACUCUCAGAAAGUGCUCUAGUUUGGAGGAUAAGUUAUGGUUACCCUAGAGCAGAAGCAAAAUCUUCCUAAAGGAAUCAUACCGAAACAGCUAAACUUUAAGAGUUCAAGGUGGCCCUUACCUUUUUCAGUCAACAACUUGCCCUAAAGAUUUAGAAGGAGACGGUGGGUGGGCAGUGUGGAAGAGCAUGCCUCUGGAACCAAACUACUUGGGUUCCUUUGUCUGCAGGAUGGGAUACUCACAAUACCCGCUUUAUAGGGUGGUUGUGAAAAUCAGAUGAACUAAUGGCAGAAACCAUUCGGUGUGGAGUUGGCUCAUGGUAAGGGCUCAAUGAAUGUGAGUCAUGGUUAUUACUGAAGGUUGGUUAAGCAUAAAGACAGUGGGCUUUGGCAUUAGGAA
Macaca fascicularis (crab-eating macaque) is the source of this 1827-nucleotide long non-coding RNA. The record is from Ensembl. NCBI's taxonomy places the organism in Eukaryota, Metazoa, Chordata, Mammalia, Primates, Cercopithecidae.